This 350-nucleotide unclassified non-coding RNA is filed under the name soil metagenome. RNAcentral's name for it is "partial contains 5.8S ribosomal RNA, internal transcribed spacer 2, and large subunit ribosomal RNA". The stretch from base 1 to 120 matches the Rfam family "5.8S ribosomal RNA", at positions 35 to 154 of the family's 154-position model. The record is from RNAcentral.
GAUGAAGAACGUAGCGAACUGCGAUAAGUAAUGUGAAUUGCAGAAUUCAGAGAAUCAUCGAGUCUUUGAACGCACAUUGCGCCCCCUGGCAUUCCGGGGGGCAUGCCUGUCCAAGCGUCAUUGCUGCCCUUCAAGCCCGGCUUGUGUGUUGGGUCGUCGUCCCCCCCGGGGGACGGGCCCGAAAGGCAGCGGCGGCACCGCGUCCGGUCCUCGAGCGUAUGGGGCUUUGUCACCCGCUCGAUUAGGGCCGGCCGGGCGCCAGCCGGCGUCUCCAACCUUCUAUUUUACCAGGUUGACCUCGGAUCAGGUAGGGAUACCCGCUGAACUUAAGCAUAUCAAUAAGCGGAGGA